UAAGGGUGAAAAGGCGAGGUAAGAGCUCACCGCUCCGAUGGUAACAUCGGGGGCACGACAAACCCCACCUGGAGCAAGACCAUGUAUGGGAGUUCACGAAGUUGCUCGCUUCGUCGUGUCCCUUCCAACACUCUAAAAGUCGGAAGGGACACGAGACUCUCGGGUAGGUCGCUUGAGUCCAUCGGCAACGAUGGACCCAGAUAAAUGGCUGCCUCUUCCGCUUUCGCGGAACAGACAGAAUUCGGCUUACAGACCUGCAGUGCCU
RNAcentral lists this RNase P RNA (265 nucleotides) under Sphingobacteriales bacterium CHB3. RNAcentral describes it as "partial RNase P RNA component class A". It matches the Rfam family "Bacterial RNase P class A", at positions 149 to 367 of the family's 367-position model. From Rfam's summary of the family: Ribonuclease P (RNase P) is a ubiquitous endoribonuclease, found in archaea, bacteria and eukarya as well as chloroplasts and mitochondria. The record is from RNAcentral. Lineage: Bacteria; Pseudomonadati; Bacteroidota; Sphingobacteriia; Sphingobacteriales.